Molecule: ribosomal RNA, 977 nt
Filed under: marine metagenome
Description: bacterial SSU rRNA
Rfam family: Bacterial small subunit ribosomal RNA
Source: RNAcentral
ACUUUGAUCAAUAGCUGAUCUGAGAGGAUGAUCAGCCACAUUGGGACUGAGACACGGCCCAAACUCCUACGGGAGGCAGCAGUAGGGAAUAUUGCACAAUGGAGGAAACUCUGAUGCAGCGAUGCCGCGUGAGUGAAGAAGGCCUUUGGGUUGUAAAGCUCUUUCGUCGGGGAAGAAAAUGACGGUACCCGAAUAAGAAGGUCCGGCUAACUUCGUGCCAGCAGCCGCGGUAAUACGAAGGGACCUAGCGUAGUUCGGAAUUACUGGGCUUAAAGAGUUCGUAGGUGGUUAAAAAAGUUGGUUGUGAAAUCCCGAAGCUUAACUUCGGAACUGCAAUCAAAACUUUUUAGCUAGAGUAUGAUAGAGGAAAGCAGAAUUUCUAGUGUAGAGGUGAAAUUCGUAGAUAUUAGAAAGAAUACCAAUUGCGAAGGCAGCUUUCUGGAUCAUUACUGACACUGAGGAACGAAAGCAUGGGUAGCGAAGAGGAUUAGAUACCCUCGUAGUCCAUGCCGUAAACGAUGUGUGUUAGACGUUGGAAAUUUAUUUUCAGUGUCGCAGCGAAAGCAGUAAACACACCGCCUGGGGAGUACGACCGCAAGGUUAAAACUCAAAUGAAUUGACGGGGACCCGCACAAGUAGUGGAGCAUGUGGUUUAAUUCGAAGAUACGCGCAGAACCUUACCAACACUUGACAUGUUCGUCGCGGCUCUAAGAGAUUAGAGCUUUCGGUUCGGCCGGACGAAACACAGGUGCUGCAUGGCUGUCGUCAGCUCGUGUCGUGAGAUGUUGGGUUAAGUCCCGCAACGAGCGCAACCCUCACUUUUAGUUGCCAUCAUUUAGUUGGGCACUCUGAAAGAACUGCCAGUGAUAAGCUGGAGGAAGGUGGGGAUGACGUCAAGUCCUCAUGGCCCUUACGUGUUGGGCUACACACGUGCUACAAUGGCAUUCACAAUAGGAAGCAAGAUGGCGACGUCAAGC